This 2323-nucleotide long non-coding RNA is filed under the name Diabrotica virgifera virgifera (western corn rootworm). RNAcentral's name for it is "uncharacterized LOC126888396". The record is from RNAcentral. Lineage: Eukaryota; Metazoa; Arthropoda; Insecta; Coleoptera; Chrysomelidae.
CUGACGGCCGGUUUCACAAUCUGUGGUUAACCCUAGCGGUCAACUAACCUUUACCCACAGUCUAACUGACAGUUGCUGUUUCACAACCACAGAUUCAAUCAUGGUUAGUUGACCCUAAGUUUUGUUUUAUUUUUCUUAUGUUGGUAGGAAAUUAUGGACAAUGAUCACCAGAAAUAACAUUUUUAUGGAAGAAUUAUCAAAUCAGCUGAUCAGUCAGAUGAGUUUCCAUUGAUUUUUAUUAGGAUAAAUUCAAUAAAUUGUUAUAUUUCUUUAUGACUAUUAAUUUGUUGUAUAUAUUUUUUAAGGAUUUUAUAUUUAGUUGUGGAGUUUAUUUUGCAGAUUAAGGAAAAAUAAAUGUGUGUAUAUGUGUGGUUAGGAUAUUCAGUCAGACUUGUGGUUGAUUUGCAUAAUCAUAUUUUUGAUGUUGAUUCUUGCUACCUUGCUUGCUUUAAAAAUUCAUAUAUUUUAACAUACCUCCUAUGGGAUUAAUAAAAUUUCAUACAUGAUGGUUGCAUCUUAGAUUUUGGACCAUAAAAAUUACUAUGCAAAACUUUUUUGAAGUAUCUUUUUUUCGUAAAAUUAAUAUUAAAAAUGCUUCCCAUACGUGGCCAACUAAAGUACACACACUGUAUAUUACAUGCACAUUAUACAUUUUAAGUUUUGUUUAAGAAUAAUAUUUGUUUUAAGGUCUUUCGCCAAUAUUGUUAAAAUUAAAUUAAUAUAAAAACAUUUAGCAAGCAAGAGACUAUAGUAUGUAUUAAUAAUUACCCCAGGAAGCAAAUCAUUUAAAAAUCGAACAAUUAUUGGCCGCUGAAAUGCUAAACGCAUUUAAGUACAUCAUAUAAAUUCAUAUCUGUAAUUAAUAAUUUACGUGUAUACACUCUGUCCUGUCAAUAAAACGAAAUUAGGUUAGGAUAACCUCUGGUUAAGAGCUUAACCAUCACUCCAAGCUCUGGUUAAAAAUUCUGUCGGUUAACCACAACUUCGCCGUUGACCUGAUAUUGUGAAACACAUAUUUCGGGGUAACUUCUGGUUAUCUCUUAACCACAAGUUAACUUCGACUUGUGAAACCGGCCGUGAUUAGGGCAUCUGAAGGAUUAGUUUAGAAAAUAUAAAUUUCACAUAGACCACACAUUAAAAAUUGGAUUUAAAAUUUGAACAUUUGCUUUUUCUCACACCUCUGACUGAAUGUGUUUUUACAGCUCUUUGUUGACUAAGGCCCGGUCUUUUCACCUCCGAAUAAAUAUGCUCUUAUCUGGCAGUUAGCUAUCUGGAGGAUAAAUAUUUAUUCGCCAGAUAAAAUGUACCCGUCUUUUCACGUCAAUUUAUGUUCCAGUUAGUUAUCCGGUAGAUAAGCUUAAAACUUUAACUUAACCUAACAUAAUUAGAUUCGAACGAAGUAUUUCAAAGAUGAUUUUAUCGAUUUUAUUUCCAUUUUGGAAGAAGGAAUGAAGGAAAUAAGGAAAACAUUGAUUAUGCUGAAAUAGUUUACUGGAGAGCUUGAACAAGAGGUAAAUCCAUUUUAAAUUAGAGGAAAACUGUUGAUUUGUAUGUAAAAUAGAAGACAAAGACAAGUUUAAAUAAAGACAAGCUAGCUAAUGAAACAGAUGCAGUGAUAUGACAAACACCUAGAAGAUGGAAUCCUGUGUUCUCAAAGAAAAAGCUAGUUCCAGAAAUAAGCUAUUCUCCUUUUCAUGAACAUUUUUCAGUGCGUCACAAAUUAUAGAAAAAAAGGUAAGUCCGUGAUAAUACACAUUUAUGGCAUUUAUUCUAACGUGACAUUUUUGUUAAAUCUAACAGUUGUCAAAUUUUAUUUUCAAUUUGGAAUAAAACCAAAUCAAUUGUGUCUAUUGCAUUUAUAAAAUGGUAUUUUCUUUCAUUUGUAUAGUCUUAUAAAUUGUACAGAUUAUAUUGAUAAUAUUAUUAUUUUAUUUAAUUAAUAAUUCUUUUUUGGUUAUGGCGCCAUCUAUCGACAACUAGAAUAAUCACCGAACUAGAAUAAUUACCAAAGUAUUCAAAGACGUGCCUUUUUUUCUGUCACAUACAAUUUAAUGUGUUAGAGAGAAAUCGAAAAACUGUGACGCACUGAAAGAUGAUCAUGAGAAAAAGAAUACCAAUAAUAAACUAGAGAAUGUAUUACAAGAAAGAACAACGCUAAUACCCAACAUAGCUCAAUUGCUUCAGAUAGAAAAAGAGGAGGAAAGGGUAGAACACAAGCGUGCCAGAGAAAAUUAAAGGGCAGAAGAGACACAAAAAUUCAUUGAUUUAUUAAAUUUAAUAAUUAAAUUAUACAAAGGACAAUUAAAUAAAGAAUAAAAAAUUA